AACGCGAAGAACCUUACCAGGGCUUAAAUGUAGUCUGACAGGGGUGGAAACACCCUUUUCUUCGGACAGAUUACAAGGUGCUGCAUGGUUGUCGCCAGCUCGUGCCGUGAGGUGUCAGGUUAAGUCCUAUAACGAGCGCAACCCCUGUUGUUAGUUGCCAGCGAGUCAAGUCGGGAACUCUAACAAGACUGCCGGUGCAAACCGUGAGGAAGGUGGGGAUGACGUCAAAUCAUCACGGCCCUUACGUCCUGGGCCACACACGUGCUACAAUGGCAGGUACAAUGGGCAGCCACUGCGUAAGCAGGAGCGAAUCCACAAAACCUGUCUCAGUUCGGAUCGGGGUCUGCAACUCGACCCCGUGAAGCUGGAAUCGCUAGUAAUCGGAUAUCAGCCAUGAUCCGGUGAAUACGUUCCCGGGUCUGUACACACCG
This 431-nucleotide ribosomal RNA is filed under the name uncultured bacterium. RNAcentral describes it as "bacterial SSU rRNA". It matches the Rfam family "Bacterial small subunit ribosomal RNA", at positions 958 to 1392 of the family's 1533-position model. The record is from RNAcentral.